GAAGACUGAGAAAAUAGGACUGCAAAUAAACUACAAGAGGAUAAUGUUCAACACACAAGUAAUCCUGCAACCAGUGAUGAUGGAAGGCCAGACAAUUGAAAGGAUGGAAGAAUACAAGUACUUAAUACAAGUAAUCACAACACAAGGAGACCAGAUGAGAGAAAUUCAACAUAGGACACAAUUGGGAUGGCAUACCUGCAGUCAUUAUAGCAACUUCCUAAGGGACAAUGGGAUAUCAGUAUGCCUCAUGCAUACUACCAAUAAUAUAACUGUGAAACCUGGAUCUCUACAAAGAUAAUGAAAC
RNAcentral lists this long non-coding RNA (304 nucleotides) under Androctonus crassicauda. The record is from RNAcentral. Lineage: Eukaryota; Metazoa; Arthropoda; Arachnida; Scorpiones; Buthidae.